This is a long non-coding RNA of Haliotis rubra (blacklip abalone), 423 nucleotides long. RefSeq lists it as uncharacterized. NCBI's taxonomy places the organism in Eukaryota, Metazoa, Mollusca, Gastropoda, Lepetellida, Haliotidae. The record is from RefSeq and is a predicted model, not a curated record. The transcript has 3 exons.
UUGAACGUUCACUGAGUUUUCUUCUGCACGUACCCCAGUUAUGUGUUCUUGAACAAGGUAGUGAGGUGCAAAGCGAUCACAGCGCAAAGGUGAUUGUAACUCCCAUACCUUAACGUAGACUUACCACUUACGACUCACACAGGAACACUUACACCCCUCCCAGGGUUUGUUCCUUCACGGGAAGAGGCAGUCGAAGCGCCAAGAUGGUGUGUACGGAACCAGGCGUACAUACGCAUGGAAUGGAUUCCCUAAAAACAAGAAAUUGUAUGUUCUUUGAAUCAACACUGAUCCCAUCUUGUUUUGUCAAAGUCUCAUUGCACAGGAUAGGAUAUUUCGAAGAUGGCUUGAAUGGAUUAAAAGAAAACCAGGCAAAACAAAAAGACUCUGCUGGCAUGUAACAAAUUCAAUAAAUUGAAGCAACCU